RNAcentral lists this ribosomal RNA (929 nucleotides) under Terriera pandanicola. RNAcentral describes it as "partial 28S large subunit ribosomal RNA". It matches the Rfam family "Eukaryotic large subunit ribosomal RNA", at positions 77 to 1443 of the family's 3401-position model. The record is from RNAcentral. Lineage: Eukaryota; Fungi; Ascomycota; Leotiomycetes; Rhytismatales; Rhytismataceae.
GCCUCAGUAACGGCGAGUGAAGCGGCAAUAGCUCAAAUUUGAAAGCUGGCGCAAGCCCGCGUUGUAAUUUGUAGAGGAUGCUUCGGGUGUGGUUCCGGUCUAAGUUCCUUGGAACAGGACGUCAUAGAGGGUGAGAAUCCCGUAUAUGGCUGGUAACCUACGCCUAUGUGAAGCUCCUUCGACGAGUCGAGUUGUUUGGGAAUGCAGCUCAAAAUGGGUGGUGUACUCCAUCUAAAGCUAAAUAUUGGCCAAAGACCGAUAGCGCACAAGUAGAGUGAUCGAAAGAUGAAAAGCACUUUGGAAAGAGAGUUAAACAGUACGUGAAAUUGUUGAAAGGGAAGCGCUUGCAAUCAGACUUGCGCGGCGUCGAUCAGCUUGGGUUCUCCCUUGCGCACUCGGCGCCGUUCAGGCCAGCAUCAGUUUCGGCGGUUGGAUAAAGGCCCAGGGAAUGUGAGAGGCUUCGGCCUCUGUUAUAGCCCUGGGUGCAAUGCAGCCUGCUGGGACUGAGGACCGCGCUUCGGCUAGGAUGCUGGCGUAAUGGUUGUAAGCGACCCGUCUUGAAACACGGACCAAGGAGUUGACGACUAAUGCGAGUGUUUGGGUGUUAAACCCAUACGCGUAAUGAAAGUGAACGGAGGUGAGAGUCCUUAAGGAUGCAUCAUCGACCGAUCCUGAUGUCUUCGGAUGGAUUUGAGUAAGAGCAUUAUUCGUCUGACCCGAAAGAUGGUGAACUAUGCCUGAAUAGGGUGAAGCCAGAGGAAACUCUGGUGGAGGCUCGCAGAGGUUCUGACGUGCAAAUCGAUCUUCAAAUUUGGGUAUAGGGGCGAAAGACUAAUCGAACCAUUGAACAAACUACUUAGUGGUUGAGAGGCCUGCCAGCCAGGCCUAGUCGCAGCAGCGGCUAUACUGCAAAACUGCGGGGACAGCUC